Molecule: ribosomal RNA, 243 nt
Filed under: uncultured bacterium
Lineage: Bacteria
Description: partial 16S ribosomal RNA
Rfam family: Bacterial small subunit ribosomal RNA
Source: RNAcentral
GUCCACGCCGUAAACGAUGCAUACUAGGUGUUGGCCUUUCGGGGCCAGUGCUGCAGUUAACGCAUUAAGUAUGCCACCUGGGGAGUACGUCGGCAACGAUGAAACUCAAAGGAAUUGACGGGGGCCCGCACAAGCGGUGGAGCAUGUGGCUUAAUUCGAUGCAACGCGAGGAACCUUACCUGGGCUAAAUCCACAGCGCUACCUCUGGAAACAGAGGGUUCCUUCGGGACGCUAUGGAAGGUG